This 425-nucleotide long non-coding RNA is filed under the name Homo sapiens (human). RNAcentral describes it as "non-protein coding LINC00458:13". Lineage: Eukaryota; Metazoa; Chordata; Mammalia; Primates; Hominidae. The record is from RNAcentral.
CUGAACUAUAUUUAAAUCUCAAAGGAUGGACAUCUCACAACCUUCCUACAGCAAGUACUGUGAGAAAAGAUACUAGCGCCAGUCUGGCAGGGGCCUUUUCUAGUCUCAAGCACGCUGAGCAGUCCUACACCUUGCCUUCUGAGAGAGAAGAGGACAGUCCUCAGCCUCCUGAAGCCUGGCAAGGGUGCCUUAGUGAGGACAUCACCUGCAACUCCCAGAUGGAUAGACGAGGCCAUGGAGAGAGGAGAACACCAACCCAUGAGUGACAAGUGCCUGUCAUUGUCAAUGAUGCUGCAAGCACCACGAUGCCCCUUCUUAGCAGGGACCCAGUGGGCCUUACCAGCUUCAUUAUUUUCUAGGCAUGAUCGCAUCCUGUCUCCCAUUUUUGCUAAAAUUCUAUCUAGAGAAAGAGCUCAUUUUUAGCU